GCGCUUAUGGUGGAGGGGUUAACAUACUUCCUUAGGGUUACGUAAUCCAGUUUGGAAGUGGUCCCCGGUUCGAGUCCGGGUGAGCGCC
This 88-nucleotide transfer RNA is filed under the name Tremella mesenterica. Its description in RNAcentral is "tRNA-Pro". Lineage: Eukaryota; Fungi; Basidiomycota; Tremellomycetes; Tremellales; Tremellaceae. The record is from RNAcentral.